This 468-nucleotide ribosomal RNA is filed under the name uncultured bacterium. RNAcentral describes it as "partial 16S ribosomal RNA". It matches the Rfam family "Bacterial small subunit ribosomal RNA", at positions 28 to 507 of the family's 1533-position model. The record is from RNAcentral.
GACGAACGCUGGCGGCGUGCUUAACACAUGCAAGUCGAACGGAAAGGCCCUGCUUUUGUGGGGUUCUCGAGUGGCGAACGCGUGUGUAACACGCGAGUAACCUGUCCUUGACUUUGGGAUAACUUCAGGAAACUGGGGCUAAUACCGGAUAGGAGCUCCUGCUGCAUGGUGGGGGUUGGAAAGUUUCGGCGGUUGGGGAUGGACUCGAGGCUUAUCAGCUUGUUGGUGGGGUAGUGGCUUACCAAGGCUUUGACGGGUAGCCGGCCUGAGAGGGUGACCGGCCACAUUGGGACUGAGGUACGGCGCAGACGGCUACGGGAGGCAGCAGUGGGGAGUAUUGCGCAAUGGGCGGAAGCCUGAUGCAGCAACGCCGCGUGCGGGAUGACGGCCUUCGGGUUGUAAACCGCUUUCGCCUGUGACGAAGCGUGAGUGACGGUAAUGGGUAAAGAAGCACCGGCUAACUACGUG